AUGGGAGGGGAGGCGGGCAUGGUGGAUGCUGCUUAUUGCGCGACAACACAGCACAAGAGUAGUUGUGCAUCAGCUGACCCCAGCGACACUGAGACUGCAGCUGCUCAUGAUGAUGUUAUAUCUGAUCUAUCUGGAAUGAAAGAUAGACUGAAGGGCGUGCUUACACAUUAUGAAGGUACAUUAAAAUGUGCAACAGCCUGGGUUUGCCCACCCUUCUUGGAAGAGGGGCUCUUGUUGGACAAUGUGCCAUUGAAGCCGUGCUAUGUGAAGUGCUACAUGACUGAAGUAAAGCCUGGAUUCAAUGAAUUUGCCCUCAAGAAUGUCCUAGGAGACUUUGAUGAGCAAAGGACCUUGGGAGAAACACUGUUACAUCACAUCUAG
Molecule: ribosomal RNA, 381 nt
Filed under: Triticum aestivum (bread wheat)
Lineage: Eukaryota; Viridiplantae; Streptophyta; Magnoliopsida; Poales; Poaceae
Description: partial small subunit ribosomal RNA
Source: RNAcentral